Molecule: transfer RNA, 76 nt
Filed under: Clostridia bacterium
Lineage: Bacteria; Bacillati; Bacillota; Clostridia
Also listed under: 1 other name
Description: tRNA-Lys
Rfam family: tRNA
About the family: Transfer RNA (tRNA) molecules are approximately 80 nucleotides in length.
Source: RNAcentral
GGGCCAUUAGCUCAGUCGGUAGAGCACUUGACUUUUAAUCAAGUUGUCGCGCGUUCGAGUCGCGCAUGGCUCACCA